AGCAGCCGUGGUAAUUCCAGCUCCAAUAGCGUAUAUUAAAGUUGUUGCAGUUAAAAAGUUCAUAGUUGAAUUUCGGGAUUUUAGUAGGCUGGUUAUGAACUCGCUCGCUGCCGGUUUAUGUACUGGUCUUACUAAUUCCUCCUUCCUGAUGAACUGUAAUGCCAUUAAUUUGGUGUUGCAGGGAAUCUGACCUGUUACUUUGAAAAAAUUAGAGUGUUUAAAGCAGGCUAACGCUUGAAUAAGUUAGCAUGGAAUAAUGAAAUAGGAUGUUCGAUCCUAUUUUGUUGGUUUCUAGGAUUGACGUAAUGAUUAAUAGGGAUAGUUGGGGGCAUUAGUAUUCAAUUGUCAGAGGUGAAAUUCUUGGAUUUAUUGAAGACUAACUACUGCGAAAGCAUUGCCAAGGAUGUUUCAUUAAUCAAGAAGGAAAGUUACAGGAUCGAAGACGAUCAGAUACCGUCGUAGUCUUAACCAUAAACUAUGCCGACUAGGAUCGGAUGAUGUUAAUUUUUAAUGU
This 514-nucleotide ribosomal RNA is filed under the name uncultured Rhizophagus. RNAcentral describes it as "bacterial SSU rRNA". It matches the Rfam family "Eukaryotic small subunit ribosomal RNA", at positions 569 to 1075 of the family's 1831-position model. Lineage: Eukaryota; Fungi; Glomeromycota; Glomeromycetes; Glomerales; Glomeraceae. The record is from RNAcentral.